RNAcentral lists this ribosomal RNA (544 nucleotides) under uncultured bacterium. RNAcentral describes it as "partial 16S ribosomal RNA". It matches the Rfam family "Bacterial small subunit ribosomal RNA", at positions 355 to 889 of the family's 1533-position model. The record is from RNAcentral.
UGGGGAAUAUUGCACAAUGGGCGCAAGCCUGAUGCAGCCAUGCCGCGUGUGUGAAGAAGGCCUUCGGGUUGUAAAGCACUUUCAGCGAGGAGGAAGGUGGUGAACUUAAUACGUUCAUCAAUUGACGUUACUCGCAGAAGAAGCACCGGCUAACUCCGUGCCAGCAGCCGCGGUAAUACAGAGGGUGCAAGCGUUAAUCGGAAUUACUGGGCGUAAAGCGCACGCAGGCGGUUUGUUAAGUCAGAUGUGAAAUCCCCGGGCUCAACCUGGGAACUGCAUUUGAAACUGGCAAGCUAGAGUCUCGUAGAGGGGGGUAGAAUUCCAGGUGUAGCGGUGAAAUGCGUAGAGAUCUGGAGGAAUACCGGUGGCGAAGGCGGCCCCCUGGACGAAGACUGACGCUCAGGUGCGAAAGCGUGGGGCAGCAAACAGGAUUAGAUACCCUGGUAGUCCAGCGCUGUAAACGAUGUCGAUUUGGAGGUUGUGCCCUUGAGGCGUGGCUUCCGGAGCUAACGCGUUAAAUCGACCGCCUGGGGAGUACGGCCGC